Molecule: non-coding RNA, 1575 nt
Organism: Nerophis lumbriciformis (worm pipefish)
Lineage: Eukaryota; Metazoa; Chordata; Actinopteri; Syngnathiformes; Syngnathidae
Source: RefSeq, a predicted model, not a curated record
UUCCUAGGGGCAGCGCAACACGUCACGCUCCUAAGCCCCGCCCACUUUCUUGCCUCCCUGUCCUGUUGGAGCAACAUCACUUCAACACACUUCAGGCACCGCUUGCUCGGUCUUCGACUUCUUGGACCCCCUCCCCGCCCCCCGGAGUCGUGAUGACGGGAUUUCGGCUCAACGUGUCCCCCCUGAAGGAGCCCCUGGGCUUCGUCAAGCUGGUGGAGUGGCUGACGGCCAUAUUUGCUUUCGGAAGCUGCGGCGGCUUCGCGGGCAGGAACAUCGUGUCCAUCUUCUGCGGCGACGGCGGCAACGAAACGCUCAACGCCAACUUCCACUACCCCUUCAGGCUGAGCCAGGUGCCGCUCGUGGAGGGAAACGCCAGUAUAUGCAACCACUCUGUCAGCACCACACACCUGAUAGGAGACUCCUCCUCUUCGGCGGAGUUCUUUGUGGGCGUGGCCGUCGUCUGCUUCCUGUACUGCAUGGCGGCCCUCUUGGUGUAUUUGGGCUACAUGCACGUGUACAAGAACUCCGACUUCGGACCCAUUCUCGACUUUGUGAUCACGGCGGUCGUGGCGUUCCUGUGGCUGGCGUGUUCGUCCGCCUGGGCCAAGGGGCUUCAGCACGUCAAGGACGCCACGGACACGGAGGGCAUAGCCGGCGCCGUGGCGCUCUGCAAGGGGAGCAACAUCACCUGCCAGGUCACCGAGUACGCCAACCUCCGGACGCUCAACAUCUCAGUGGUGUUCGGCUACCUCAACAUGUUCGUGUGGGCCGGUAACGCUUGGUUCGUGUACAAGGAGACGCGCUGGCACUCGCAGAAGGUCUCCACCCAACCAGGACCGGGGAGGCAGCAGGUUCCGGCAGCCAUCUAAAUCACGCACAAACAAACCUCACUUUGUGGGUGAUUUUUUUUAACCUAUUCUUCAAACAUUCAACAUUUUCCCCAAGAUGAACCAUUCUAUUAGAAUAUCCAAUUUUCACUUUAAGAUAUUUUUUUAUGUGAAGCUUCACAAUAGCUUGUUUAGGGUACAAAUACAUAACUUUAAGGUACGUUUCCUUUGUCAAAAAAGGGUUAAAUUUGAUUAUGAAUUUACUUUUAUGCACACAUUAAUAAUUAUAGUACAACUGGUAUCAAACUCGAGGCCCGGGGGCCGUAUCUGGCCCGCGAACGCCUAGGAAAAUAUGCAUCAAUGAAGUACCUUAUCUUUUCGUACUGAAUUUACCGUAUUUUCCGCACCAUAAGGCGCCCUGGGUUAUAAGCCGCGCCUUCAAUGAACGGCAUAUUUCAAAACUUUGUCCACCUAUAAGACGCCCCGUGUUAUAAGCCGCAUCUAACUGCGCUAAAGGAAUGUCAAAAAACAGUCAGAUAGGUCAGUCAAACUUUAAUAAUAUAUUAAAAACCAGCGUGAUGUGGGCGCGCAUGGAGUCGUAUAUCAACAUGGACGGAGCUGCGUGAAAAAAGCCACCCGGCCUCUUCGCGUAAACUUACCUUAACCACUCGCUCAUCUUUUCUUCAUCCAUCCCUUCGAGUUAGCUUUUAUGAUGACGCCGGCUGGAAAGGUCUCUUUUGGCAAGGUC